Molecule: ribosomal RNA, 451 nt
Filed under: uncultured bacterium
Lineage: Bacteria
Description: bacterial SSU rRNA
Rfam family: Bacterial small subunit ribosomal RNA
Source: RNAcentral
AACGAACGCUGGCGGCAUGCCUAACACAUGCAAGUCGAACGAGACCUUCGGGUCUAGUGGCGCACGGGUGCGUAACGCGUGGGAAUCUGCCCUUGGGUCCGGAAUAACUCAGAGAAAUUUGAGCUAAUACCGGAUGAUGACGUAAGUCCAAAGAUUUAUCGCCCAGGGAUGAGCCCGCGUAGGAUUAGCUAGUUGGUGAGGUAAAGGCUCACCAAGGCGACGAUCCUUAGCUGGUCUGAGAGGAUGAUCAGCCACACUGGGACUGAGACACGGCCCAGACUCCUACGGGAGGCAGCAGUGGGGAAGUAUUGGACAAUGGGCGAAAGCCUGAUCCAGCAAUGCCGCGUGAGUGAUGAAGGCCUUAGGGUUGUAAAGCUCUUUUACCCGGGAUGAUAAUGACAGUACCGGGAGAAUAAGCCCCGGCUAACUCCGUGCCAGCCGCCGCGGUAAU